Molecule: ribosomal RNA, 468 nt
Filed under: uncultured bacterium
Lineage: Bacteria
Description: partial 16S ribosomal RNA
Rfam family: Bacterial small subunit ribosomal RNA
Source: RNAcentral
GACGAACGCUGGCGGCGUGCUUAACACAUGCAAGUCGAACGGAAAGGCCCUGCUUUUGUUGGUUGCUCGAUUGGCGAACGGGGGAGUAACACAUGAGUAACCCGCCCUUGACUGUGGGAUAACUUCUGGAGACUCGGGCUAAUACCCGAGAGGAUCUCCUGCUGCAUGUUGGUGGUUGGUAAGUGUCGGCGGUUCGGGCUGGUCUCGCUGCUUAUCAGCUUGUUGGUGAGGUAGUGGCUUACCAAGGCUUUGACGGGUAGGCGGCAUGAGAGGGUGAACGGGGACCUUGCGCCUGAGAUAGGGCGCAGAAGCCAACGGGCGGCAGCAGUCGAGAACAUUGCAGAAUGACGCGACGUGUGAUGCAGCAAUGUUGCGAGCGGGAUGACCGCUUACGAGUUGUAAACAGAUUUCGCAUGUGACGAAGCGUGCGUGACGGUAAUGAGUAAAGAAGCCACGGCUAACUACGUG